GUGGUGGGAUAGUGAUUGUAUACUUUACGUGCAAAAAUAAGGAGGAAUCAAUUUGUGAGAAAUACAGAUUCUUUAUUCCUAGAAUUAGAAAAACAAAAAGAUUCUCUGAUUUAUUAGUCAGUUUGGGGCAGCUUUCUCUCUUAAUCAUUUCUUGUAUGAGAAGCAUUGCAUCUUAAUUAUUGCUUCCCAGACGUUACCAAAAUACUAAAAUAG
Molecule: long non-coding RNA, 213 nt
Filed under: Medicago truncatula (barrel medic)
Lineage: Eukaryota; Viridiplantae; Streptophyta; Magnoliopsida; Fabales; Fabaceae
Description: lncRNA gene45599
Source: RNAcentral